This 162-nucleotide ribosomal RNA is filed under the name Karenia brevis. RNAcentral's name for it is "partial Eukaryotic small subunit ribosomal RNA". The record is from RNAcentral. Lineage: Eukaryota; Dinophyceae; Gymnodiniales; Kareniaceae.
ACUUCUUAGAGGGACUUUGCAUGUCUCCCGCAAGGAAGCUUGAGGCAAUAACAAUUUUGUGAUGCUUUCAACAUUUUCUCGACCUUACCUGGAAGGGUUAAGUAUUUUUUUAAACGCAUCGCGGUCGGGACGGAUUCUUGCAAUUCUUAAUUUUCAAUGUGG